This 1470-nucleotide long non-coding RNA is filed under the name Nicotiana benthamiana. Its description in RNAcentral is "long non-coding RNA (NBEN_LNC020156)". Lineage: Eukaryota; Viridiplantae; Streptophyta; Magnoliopsida; Solanales; Solanaceae. The record is from RNAcentral.
UACGACACCUCAUCUCCUGUUGCCACCGUCCCUCCGCCACCCUCUGCAGUCCGUCGCCGGCGGCAAGUCUCCAAACCAUACCACUCGCUCCUCUCACUCCCCUGAACAUUAAAAUGUCCAUAGUUCCCCCCCCCCUCCCAAAACCCCACCUGUUCAGUCUUGGGCUCAAAUCAGAGGAUGAGCAAGAAUCUUAGGACAACCAGCCUGGCUGGGCUCUCAAUGGUUAUCCUCGAGCGGAUUCAGGACUUGCAUUAAAUAAUUGUUCUAGCCAAGAAUAAUUUAUUAAUGCUAGUUUUGGAUCCGUUUGAGAGUCACCAGUUUCCAACCAAGGUGCCCAAAUUGGUCGAAUUUUGCUUCGCAUGGUAGUCGUUUCAAUUCGUCGAUUCAAUCCAAUCAAAGUGGUACACCCAUCUCUCUCUUUCAAAUGUUUUUUAUUAUUUUAUUUUAUUUUCAUUUGUUCUGGCAGUCUUUGUUUCAUCCCCAUCCCUUUCUUUUACUUGGUUGAACUAGUUUCAGCAUGUUAAGGAUUGUCGAACCCAUUAAUGACAUAGGGGUAAACACUAAAAGCACCUGCGCUUGGAUUACCCCUGAAUUGGGUGCUAAUUUGAUUAUUGUUUGGGCUAUCUUGAUUUAGUCUGGACUUUUUGAUUAUGGGCUGGGCAACCCAAAACCAAGUAAUAGGAUGUUUUAGACGGAGGGCAAAAAAUCGGAACAAUUCAGGAUAUUUUAGGGAAACGGGAUGGGAAUUCUUUGGUAACCGAAUUGGAAGCUUCCUGGAAGAUGACUUGGGGUUGUUUUGGAGAUUUUUGAAAAUUAAUUAGAGUAAUCAAGGCAAAAAAAAUGAAAAAUGCAAAUGCAAUUUUGAAAAUGUAAAAGGACAAUAUUGCAAAGCUAGAAUUUAUUGUUUGCCCUACUUUCCUUGAUUAUAGAGGCAUAUUUUCUUGCCUUUCAAGGCAAGAACAAGAGGAAAUAGAGUCUGAAAAAAGCAUUAGCUAGUGAAAUUUUUCUCUACACACUUUGAUUGGGAUUUUCUGAAAUUUGAAGUUUGCUUUUUCUUGCUUUGGGAAUUUUUUGUCCAUUCGAAGGAAAAAGGUUGAAAUUGAUGGUUUUCGAAAGCUUCUGAUUCAAUUUGAUCAAAAUUUACUGUUCCAUUGAGGCUUUUGAGACUAUUUCACUUGUUUCUACUGCUGAAUCUGUUUGUUUCCAUAGCUGACCCUUUACUUUCAACACUGCUGAUACUUGAUUUGGUUUUAUUUUCAGUUCCAGGUAUGCCUAAUGACACCAUGGUCAUCAUCUAAAUGUAGGUGAAGUUGGGAUUGAAGUAUGGAAUAGUAUAUGAAGUUGUUUAUAGUCAAUUGUACUUGCUUUCUUCAUUUAAUUGUGCUGUAAUAUCUAGCUUUAAAGAUGUAUUGAUUGGAAUGUUGAUAGGUAUACUUAGGGAUGGCAAGUAAAAUUUAAGCCAUGUUAUUU